GAUGAACGCUGGCGGCGUGCCUAAUACAUGCAAGUCGAGCGAACGGACGAGAAGCUUGCUUUUCUGAUGUUAGCGGCGGACGGGUGAGUAACACGUGGAUAACCUACCUAUAAGACUGGGAUAACUUCGGGAAACCGGAGCUAAUACCGGAUAAUAUUUUGAACCGCAUGGUUCAAAAGUGAAAGACGGUCUUGCUGUCACUUAUAGAUGGAUCCGCGCUGCAUUAGCUAGUUGGUAAGGUAACGGCCUACCAAGGCAACGAUGCAUAGCCGACCUGAGAGGGGGAUAGCCGACCUUGGAACUGAGACACGGUCCAGACUCCUACGGGAGGCAGCAGUAGGGAAUCUUACGCAAUGGGCGAAAGCCUGACGGAGCAACGGCGCGUGAGUGAUGAAGGUCUUCGGAUCGUAAAACUCUGUUAUUAGGGAAGAACAUAUGUGUCAGUAACUGUGCACAUAUUGACGGUAACUAAUCAGAAAGCCACGGCUAACUACGUG
RNAcentral lists this ribosomal RNA (497 nucleotides) under uncultured bacterium. RNAcentral describes it as "partial 16S ribosomal RNA". It matches the Rfam family "Bacterial small subunit ribosomal RNA", at positions 28 to 507 of the family's 1533-position model. The record is from RNAcentral.